RNAcentral lists this ribosomal RNA (467 nucleotides) under uncultured bacterium. Its description in RNAcentral is "partial 16S ribosomal RNA". It matches the Rfam family "Bacterial small subunit ribosomal RNA", at positions 29 to 507 of the family's 1533-position model. The record is from RNAcentral.
ACGAACGCUGGCGGCGUGCUUCACACAUGCAAGUCGCACGGAAAGGCCCUGCUUUUGUGGGGUGCUCGAGUGGCGAACGGGUGAGUAACACGUGAGUAACCUGCCCUUGACUUUGGGAUAACUUCAGGAAACUGGGGCUAAUACCGGAUAGGAGCUCCUGCUGCAUGGUGGGGGUUGGAAAGUUUCGGCGGUUGGGGAUGGACUCGCGGCUUAUCAGCUUGUUGGUGGGGUAGUGGCUUACCAAGGCUUUGACGGGUAGCCGGCCUGAGAGGGUGACCGGCCACAUUGGGACUGAGAUACGGCCCAGACUCCUACGGGAGGCAGCAGUGGGGAAUAUUGCACAAUGGGCGGAAGCCUGAUGCAGCAACGCCGCGUGCGGGAUGAAGGCCUUCGGGUUGUAAACCGCUUUCGCCUGUGACGAAGCGUGAGUGACGGUAAUGGGUAAAGAAGCACCGGCUAACUACGUG